Molecule: unclassified non-coding RNA, 231 nt
Filed under: plant metagenome
Description: partial contains small subunit ribosomal RNA, internal transcribed spacer 1, and 5.8S ribosomal RNA
Rfam family: Eukaryotic small subunit ribosomal RNA (bases 1-54)
Source: RNAcentral
GGAAGUAGAAGUCGUAACAAGGUCUCCGUUGGUGAACCAGCGGAGGGAUCAUUACUGGAAUCGCAAGAUCCCACAACCCUGUGAACCUACCGAAACGUUGCCUCGGCGGGUGCCCGGCCUCUGCGCCGGGCGCUGCGCCCGCCGGCGGCCCCCUACUCUGUCUCUGCAGCGUGGCAUCUCAGAGUCCCAGAAAACAAGUCAAAACUUUCAACAACGGAUCUCUUGGCUCUA